RNAcentral lists this microRNA (21 nucleotides) under Selaginella moellendorffii. Its description in RNAcentral is "smo-miR1090". Lineage: Eukaryota; Viridiplantae; Streptophyta; Lycopodiopsida; Selaginellales; Selaginellaceae. The record is from miRBase by way of RNAcentral.
UGAAAGCCAUUCUCAACAAAA